UACGUAGGGUGCGAGCGUUGUCCGGAAUUAUUGGGCGUAAAGGGCUCGUAGGCGGUUUGUCGCGUCGGGAGUGAAAACCCAGGGCUUAACUCUGGGCUUGCUUUCGAUACGGGCAGACUAGAGGUAUGCAGGGGAGAACGGAAUUCCUGGUGUAGCGGUGAAAUGCGCAGAUAUCAGGAGGAACACCGGUGGCGAAGGCGGUUCUCUGGGCAUUACCUGACGCUGAGGAGCGAAAGCUGGGGGAGCAAACAGG
RNAcentral lists this ribosomal RNA (253 nucleotides) under uncultured bacterium. RNAcentral describes it as "partial 16S ribosomal RNA". It matches the Rfam family "Bacterial small subunit ribosomal RNA", at positions 524 to 776 of the family's 1533-position model. The record is from RNAcentral.